UGGGGAAUAUUGCACAAUGGGCGCAAGCCUGAUGCAGCAACGCCGCGUGAACGAUGAAGGUCUUCGGAUCGUAAAGUUCUGUUGCAGGGGAAGAAUAUGACGGUACCCUGUGAGGAAGCCCCGGCUAACUACGUGCCAGCAGCCGCGGUAAUACGUAGGGGGCUAGCGUUAUCCGGAUUUACUGGGCGUAAAGGGUGCGUAGGUGGUCUUUCAAGUCGGUGGUUAAAGGCUACGGCUCAACCGUAGUUAGCCUCCGAAACUGGAAGACUUGAGUGCAGGAGAGGAAAGUGGAAUUCCCAGUGUAGCGGUGAAAUGCGUAGAUAUUGGGAGGAACACCAGUAGCGAAGGCGGCUUUCUGGACUGCAACUGACACUGAGGCACGAAAGCGUGGGUAGCAAACAGG
This 403-nucleotide ribosomal RNA is filed under the name Verrucomicrobiota bacterium. RNAcentral's name for it is "Verrucomicrobia bacterium partial 16S ribosomal RNA". It matches the Rfam family "Bacterial small subunit ribosomal RNA", at positions 355 to 776 of the family's 1533-position model. The record is from RNAcentral. Lineage: Bacteria; Pseudomonadati; Verrucomicrobiota.